This is a small nucleolar RNA of Toxocara canis (dog roundworm), 209 nucleotides long. It matches the Rfam family "Small nucleolar RNA U3". Rfam says of the family: Small nucleolar RNAs (snoRNAs) are involved in the processing and modification of rRNA in the nucleolus. There are two main classes of snoRNAs: the box C/D class, and the box H/ACA class. U3 snoRNA is a member of the box C/D class. NCBI's taxonomy places the organism in Eukaryota, Metazoa, Nematoda, Chromadorea, Rhabditida, Toxocaridae. The record is from Rfam.
GAAAUCAUACUUCACAGAAUCAUUUCUGUAGUAUGCAUUUCAUCGCCUCUCUCAAAGAGGCGACACAACGCAGCCGCGAUGAUCGAUGUGUGGCGUCGUUCUCAGAGCGUGAAGAAGCAUCAUCCGUUUAUCCAAAAACUGAUGAAGCUUGAUGACCGCCGGUGAUUUCGAUGAGGAAUCGCCGAUGAGGGCGACGCUUGCUGAGCGGU